Molecule: long non-coding RNA, 940 nt
Filed under: Homo sapiens (human)
Lineage: Eukaryota; Metazoa; Chordata; Mammalia; Primates; Hominidae
Description: HPS1 antisense RNA 1, transcript variant 4 (HPS1-AS1)
Source: RNAcentral
GACUUCCGCUUCACCUCGCUAUCUUGCCCUAGAAAGGGAACUCGGAGGGGACUCACUGACGAAAGGAGCUCCAGAUGGCGGGGGGCCAACCUGGGGCGACCCCCAGCGCCCACUUUCACCAUCUGGACCCCAGCAAACCUCCCUGUGGCCCUUGGUCCCGUCUUCAGCAGCUCCUUCUGGGGUCCCACACCUUCGGAGCCCGGCCCUGCCCCUGAGUCUCUGGAGAGAGCGAGUCAGCAGUUCGCCGCCGCGGGGCUCCCGUUUGCCUAGCACGCCAGUUUCUGUCCAGUUUCACCCCAAAUCCCCACCUCCCCCCACCCCCGAACCUCACGGCCACCCUGGGAAGGAGGCUUGACUUGUGACAUCCACCCCUCUUCACGGCUGAGGAACUUUGGCCCCGAGCGAGGAAGCGACCGGCCCACGGCCACACGCCCGGAGGGGCAGCAUCUUCUACUAUGUGCAUCUACAUUGGAUGGCAGUGGAGCAACACAGAUUGUUUUCUGACAAAAAUCAGCCAAGUACUAGGAGAGGCAGGACUUUAGAAGUGGAGGAGAUGGAGAAGGAAGCUUAGGUUACUAUGGAGUGUGCAAAAAGGUCCUGUGGAUUUAGAUACCACCACACACAAAUGCUGUUGUUGGAAGGUACCUGCCCAGAUAAGGACUGCAUUUCCUCUAGCAUCCAGAUGGGACCAAAUGACUGCUGGCCAAUAGAAGUGAGUGGAAAGGACUGACUCCAGUUCCAGGUUGGGCCUCCAACUGCUCUGGGCACGUCGAUGGAACAGAACACCACCUCCACCCCAAUACCACCAAUUCAACUUUACAUGAAUUAUAAGCGAGAAAUAACUUGGACUGUGUUAAGUCAUUGAGUUUCUGGGGUUUAACUGUUAUUAUAGUUAAGAAUGACUUUAACUAAUAUAGUCAAUGACAUCUAAAAAAAAAAA